This 459-nucleotide ribosomal RNA is filed under the name uncultured bacterium. RNAcentral's name for it is "partial 16S ribosomal RNA". It matches the Rfam family "Bacterial small subunit ribosomal RNA", at positions 338 to 795 of the family's 1533-position model. The record is from RNAcentral.
CCUACGGGUGGCAGCAGUGAGGAAUAUUGGUCAAUGGGCGCGAGCCUGAACCAGCCAAGUAGCGUGAAGGAUGACUGCCCUACGGGUUGUAAACUUCUUUUAUAAAGGAAUAAAGUGAGGCACGUGUGCCUUUUUGUAUGUACUUUAUGAAUAAGGAUCGGCUAACUCCGUGCCAGCAGCCGCGGUAAUACGGAGGAUCCGAGCGUUAUCCGGAUUUAGUGGGGGUAAAGGGAGCGUAGAUGGGUGGUUAAGUCAGUUGUCAAAUGGAGGGGCGCAACCCGUUCCCGCCAUUGAAACUGGCGCUCUUGAGUGGAAGAGAGGUAUGCGGAAUGCGUGGUGUAGCGGUGAAAUGCAUAGAUAUCACGCAGAACCCCGAUUGCGAAGGCAGCAUGCCGGCUUCCGACUGACGCUGAAGCACGAAAGCGUGGGGAUCGAACAGGAUUAGAUACCCGAGUAGUC